UACGCACGCUGGCGGCGUGCUUAACACAUGCAAGUCGAACGGAAAGGCCCUGCUAUUGUGGGGUGCUCGAGUGGCGAACGGGUGAGUAACACGUGAGUAACCUGCCCUUGACUUUGGGAUAACUUCAGGAAACUGGGGCUAAUACCGGAUAGGAGCUCCUGCUGCAUGGUGGGGGUUGGAAAGUUUCGGCGGUUGGGGAUGGACUCGCGGCUUAUCAGCUUGUUGGUGGGGUAGUGGCUUACCAAGGCUUUGACGGGUAGCCGGCCUGAGAGGGUGACCGGCCACAUUGGGACUGAGAUACGGCCCAGACUCCUACGGGAGGCAGCAGUGGGGAAUAUUGCACAAUGGGCGGAAGCCUGAUGCAGCAACGCCGCGUGCGGUAUGACGGCCUUCGGUUUGUAAACCGCUUUCGCCUGUGACGAAGCGUGAGUGACGGUAAUGGGUAAAGAAGCACCGGCUAACUACGUG
RNAcentral lists this ribosomal RNA (468 nucleotides) under uncultured bacterium. Its description in RNAcentral is "partial 16S ribosomal RNA". It matches the Rfam family "Bacterial small subunit ribosomal RNA", at positions 29 to 507 of the family's 1533-position model. The record is from RNAcentral.